Molecule: ribosomal RNA, 492 nt
Filed under: uncultured bacterium
Lineage: Bacteria
Description: partial 16S ribosomal RNA
Rfam family: Bacterial small subunit ribosomal RNA
Source: RNAcentral
AGUGAACGCUGGCGGUAGGCCUAACACAUGCAAGUCGAACGGCAGCACAGUAAGAGCUUGCUCUUACGGGUGGCGAGUGGCGGACGGGUGAGGAAUACAUCGUACUCUACUUUUUCGUGGGGGAUAACGUAGGGAAACUUACGCUAAUACCGCAUACGACCUACGGGUGAAAGCAGGGGAUCUUCGCACCUUGCGCGAUUGAAUGAGCCGAUGUCGGAGUAGCUAGUUGGCGGGGUAAAGGCCCACCAAGGCGACGAUCCGUAGCUGGUCUGAGAGGAUGAUCGGCCACACUGGAACUGAGACACGGUCCAGACUCCUAAGAGAGGCAGCAGUGGGGAAUAUUGGACAAUAGGCGGAAGCCUGAUCCAGCCAUACCGCGUGGGUGAAGAAGGCCUUCGGGUUGUAAAGACCUUUUGUUGGGAAAGAAAAGCAGCAGGUUAAUACCCCGCUGUUCUGACGGUACCCAAAGAAUAAGCACCGGCUAACUACGUG